This 445-nucleotide long non-coding RNA is filed under the name Musa acuminata (dwarf banana). RNAcentral's name for it is "long non-coding RNA (MACU_LNC006700)". The record is from RNAcentral. Lineage: Eukaryota; Viridiplantae; Streptophyta; Magnoliopsida; Zingiberales; Musaceae.
AUAUAUACAUGAAGUAUGUCCAUAUCCAAUAAAGUUUUGUUAUUUUCCGGUUUAUGCUUUGUUGCUCACAAUUUUUUGUUCCGUAUUAAAAUUUUCAAAUCUCAUCCCUCAUGAUUCGUAUACAAAAUCUUAUGCCGUUCCUCAUGCAACUUUGAUAAAAUUAAAGAAACUUAAAACUUGAUUAAUUUAAAGUUAGAAAACUAGAAGCUCUCUUACUAAAUUAAUUACAUAUCCAAUAAAAUUAAUUCGAGCAAAAAACUAGAAACCAGAAGAAAAAAAAAAGAAGAAUUUCACAACAUGCAGAAUGUAGUAGUAGCCAUCAAACAAAAAGAGAUUGGGGAAGCGUACCUUGUGGCAAAUCUUUUUCAUUCAUGGCCAUAAUCCUGCACCAUAAUAUCUCAGCGCGAUAACAUAUGCACAAUGUUGUACCAAGUAUUUUUCAGAU